AGUAUAAGUGUGCAAUCAUGACUAACUCAUAUACGUCAGGUCAAAGUGCAGCCUAUGUAGUGGAGAUGAUGGGUUACACCCUAAACAAAGACACCAAUUAAUACAUUAAAAGUAAUAUGAAGGUGGACUUGGACGUAAUUUUAAUUCUAUGUUAUAAUGAACAUGAAUCUAAGACAUGCACACAUCGCCCGUCACUCUCGCCCAAAGGUGAGAUAAGUCGUAACAAAGUAGGUGUAACGGAAGUUGCACCUGU
RNAcentral lists this ribosomal RNA (253 nucleotides) under Prosellodrilus biauriculatus. RNAcentral's name for it is "partial 12S ribosomal RNA". It matches the Rfam family "Bacterial small subunit ribosomal RNA", at positions 1245 to 1520 of the family's 1533-position model. The record is from RNAcentral. Lineage: Eukaryota; Metazoa; Annelida; Clitellata; Crassiclitellata; Lumbricidae.